AUACGAUAAUGUUCGCAUCCCCGACAUCAAAUUCAAGCUGAUACCGUUUCUAGAGCAAGUGGUAAAGGAUUUGGUAGUUGGCAUUCGAGACCCAAGUUCGAAUCCUAAUUGAUUCAUAUUUUCAGCUAAAUUUAUUUCUGUAUAAAAUAAACGAAGCAGAUAGUGUGCUACCUAUCUCUCCAAAAAAAUUCAAGGUGAUAAUCAUCGAUUAGUUACAACGAAGGCUCGCCGCGACAAGAGGGGCACCCGGAACAAAGAAGAAAAGAUGUAAAAUAUUACCGUUAUAUUGUGUCACUGGCACUUCCAAUCAAUCAAAUUUGUGUUUUAGAAUACAUCAAAUCAUUAUAAUCUUUAAUUAUGUGUAUACGUUUAUUUUUUUAAAAAAAUAAUAUUUAGUUAAUUUAAAAAUAUAGAUGUGGUAUAAGAGACGCGUGACAUAAAAAUAUCACCCGGUCACGUCGGAGAAGUACGAUAAAACAAGAUCCGUCCCUCGGGCAAACGCACGUGGGAUGGGACCCAUUGACAUGUGGCCACGUACUCAUGUGCCUCAUUCGCUCCGUGUAGUCGUGUAGAUGGGGAACGGAGCUUUCUUUCACUCCCCUCGUCCCACAACAAAAUAAACGAUGAAUGAACGUUUCACAAAAAAUCUUAAAAUAAAAAAUAGUAAUGAGUAAAUAAAUUUGUUAAUCCCGAAUAUGCUUUUCAAUUUUCUUUAACUUAAUGAGAACGAAAUUCUUUAUUUCAAACUGGAUUUACAAAGGCCUAGCUCGAAGCAUUCACGCGAGUCCUCCUCACACACCUAGAAAAGCCUCACUCUAACAACACAAUCACAAACCACAGCACAAGUUUCUCAAUGUUUCCUAGUAAUAAAGUGCAUUUUGUCCGAAAAGCCAAAAACACUGCAGUAAGAAGAUUAUUAUUAGAUCGUUACAGCGCAAUCCUUCUAAAGCAUCAGCGUAGAGAAAUACUGUUCGAAUUCCUGAUCGAUCGUCAAUUUCUGCGCACCCAAUCGAGCUUCUGAAUAGGUUAAAAUAUCAUUAACAUCUACCGAUUAAAAAUGCGCCAGCAUUUAUAGAGUAGAUUGAUGAGAGAAGCAUUCAUACCUUGUCCAAGACUCCACUGUCCAGAUGGAAGAACAAACGCGUUUGAUAAUAUCUCCGCAUCUGAACACUCCAUGCCGUUUCUCAGAAUUUCUGAAGUAAUAUCAUCAUCAAAUUCCUCGAAUCCCUGAAGCAACGCCGUCAUAUCUUUAUACUCUGGACCAAAUUGGAAAUCAUUCACCAGCCGUCCAUUUUCUGCCAUAGUGUUUACCACUGCGGAAUUAUCACUGUGGAAGGAAGUGAUACUGCUCCCAGAAGCAUUGUCGCUGGAACUGUUAGAAGACGUAGAAGGCCGAUCUGGGAACACCAGUCUCCCGGAUAAUUUCUCAGUGCUACCCUUAAAGUUGGCUUGAAGGGCACUAUCAUAAUCUUCAAUGGAAAUGAUACUGUCCCUAUCAGAUUCUUCUUCUUCUGGUCCGUCUCUCAUGAUCUCUUUGCCUCUUGGGUAUUUCUCUCCAUGCUGUGUAACUUCUUUAGCUGCAGACUCAUGAUUGAAGCUAUUCAAACCAUCCCGAAACCUAAAUUUGUGCUUCGACACUGGCAAUUCUGAAUCAUUGAGCUCACAAAGUAGCUUCCUUUUCUUAUUCACCUCGUUGCCAACCUGAGAAAAUUCUUCGGAGGGAUUGGAGCUACAAUGCAAUGAUGAAAUGAGAGGUCAUAUAAAGAACUAUCAAAUGCAUUACUACUAAUAUACCUUAUGACAAAAGCAUGAAAUUGGAUCGCAUACCGGUCUUGUAUCGUCGCCAACAAAGGAUAAUGUGAAACAAAUGAAUGUGUUUUUUGGCCCGUAUUCUCUGCUAGUGCUAUCUCACUAGCAUGAGUUUGUUCAGAACAUACUGAUCGAUACACAGGGAGGCAGUUGUUUGCACGUACUCAUAUUUUGUAAACCAAAAUUACCUUCUCAAACCGUUUCCAGAUUAUUCAGACAUCAAUACUACAAGCUUAGGAAUCUAAGAUACCUUUCAAACUAUAUUCCGAGUAUGAUCAUUCUGUGUUCUCUUCAUAAGUAAAAAUACACUACAACGAUUUAACUUAGAAAACUAAAUCAGUUGCCCGCUGAUUUCUCUUGUCAAACCACUAGCUCAACUUACACAUAGCACAUCAUAAUCGGAAAAAUAGGCACAAAACUAUUAAAACAGCUUAUGCUGCAGUUUACUCUCGAUCAGAGAAUCUACUGAAGAAGACAAAGCAAGUGUUGAUUCGGCUCAAAGAAGCUGCUUGCCACAACGCAGCUGCAAAGGCCCUACUUAUUGAGCGCGAGCAUGGCAAGUGUAUUGUAGCUGAAGGGGAUUUGAUUGAUGCAGAUGGAAACUCCUCCUAAAGAUGACGUGACAACCGAAUCGCCAGAUAUCGCUUCUUCCUUUGCUAAGAAAACUGCGUGGUCCUCGUCGAACUAAUUAAUUCAACUUGAAGUAGAAAUUAAAGUUCGGAGUUUUAAUUGGAACUGAUAGAAGAAGUAUGGUGACCUAGAUGGAACUUAAUCAUCAACCAAUUGGGGAAUUCGCGCUACGGCAAGCUCGAGCAACUCGAUCAAAAUAGCAGAGAACAGUUUGUUCCGCGCGAGGAUUGAAGAAGAACGGUGCGCAAAUUUCCAUUUUUCCCUUCGGUAAAUAAGAAAGAAAUUAACUGAAAAGAAGGGAGAAAUCGCAGCCCCUAACCUGUUGAUCAGAGCCUGUUCCUCCAUGUCGACUUCAUCCAUCGGUCCCUCGCAUUAGCGCAAAACACCCAUCUCGAAUCAAACGAGCUACGGUCGACAAAUCCCUAGCGCGCGCGCGCGCGAGAGAGAGAGAGAGAGAGAGAGAGAGGGAGAGUAAACUUUCCCCUUUUCUUCUAACUUUUAGGACGAGGAUUCCCUCUCACUCUCUCUCUCUCUCUCUCUCUCUCUCUCUAAAAAGCGGAGACGAACAAGCCGAUGCGNCCCUCUCACUCUCUCUCUCUCUCUCUCUCUCUCUCUAAAAAGCGAUGACGAACAAGCCGAUGCGGAGCGCGAAUCGUGGCGCGGGGAUGGACGGCGGAGAUCGCUUUGGGAAUCGAUCGUACGCGGCGGGGCCUUGGGCACGAGUGGGGGGGAGUGGGACCACCUGGGUAGGGGAUUAAUCUUAUCGGUUCCUUCCCGCAGCAUGACCAGCAUUCUUAUCACUAUUAUUAUAAUUUUUUAUUAUUAUUAUAACUUACAGAGCAGGGAUGCGGAUCUGCUGCGUGGGUUCGUGCAGCGAAUCUUCUUACAAGUCGAUCUCGGAGCCGUGCGGAUGGAGGUUCACGUGGACUUACAGCAGGGGAGGAAACCGUUCGGUGCUCGACCAGGUUCACUGCACGCUUUAUAAGCACUGUUACUAUAUAAUACGCCUUGUAAUUUCUACCGAGAAACGCAGUUGUGUAACGAUCUUAAUAUAGCUAAAAUUGUUAUGGAUUUAAUUUAGUUAUAUUGCACAAAUGACAAAUUCGGUUAGAUUCGGGACGCUGUGAUUUUCAUCGGAGUGCAAGAAAAGUAAAGUCUACAUGCGCGUACACGAGAUAGGUGCAUCUAACGGAAAAAUCAUGAAUUCAGUUCCCAAAACAUGGGUCGGAUCUUCUAAAAUGAAAAUAAACUCCUGGUAACCUUUUUGCAACAGAUGCACUUUUGUUGAGUGUGUCAUAAGCUAUUAAGGCUACCAAGCACAGCCAUAGAAAGAACAAAUAGUUGUCACGGAACAAACCCCCGCCCCAAAGUUAAAAAAAAAAAAAAAGAAAAAAAAAAAGAAAAAAAAAGAGGAGACAGGGAAGGUUCAACUUUUACAUAAAGAAUCAGAUGUGCAAAUUAGAAAGUAAAUUUACAACUUCUGUAACACAACAUAUAUUGACUAGCCCACAAAUUUCAAUGUAAACCCUAAUGGUUCAGAUGACGAGGAGCAGAGUCCUGCUGAUCACCGAUCACCGAAAUAGACAAAUUUGUAGUGUUGCCACAGAGGAUUCGCACUUCUUUUAUCCUUUUCAUAAAUUACAGAAAACCUUAAAUAUCUAUAAUAAAACUAUGUAAGACCACAAAUGAAGCCAAAAUUGUGGUACACAUCAGCUUUCCAUCUUGAGAACACAUACUUUUGGAUUCUGAGCUUUUACCUUGUCAUUCGCAUUAUGAUCCACAAAGAAAAGUAUGGUAUUCAUUAAUAUUAGAGAUAACCAGUUUGUAGAUGCAUAGGCAUAUUGCUAAAUUAAUCAGAUAGACAGAUUACAUGCUCGUAGAGAGACCCCCCUGCGAAAUGAUUUCCAGGCGCUUGUUAGUAACUCAAGUGGGGGCAUUCAGCAGUAGCUAAACCAUAAAAGAAGCAUCCGCUUCACCAUUAUUACUUUCUUGCCAUCCAGAACCUGCCCUAUGUUUACAUACAGGGCAUGUACCUUGUUGACGUAGCCAUGGAUCGAUGCAGUUAGCAUGAAACUGAGUGAGAGGAAAAAAAAAGAUAGUUGUCGCCAUAACAAAGAUCGACGCAAAAACAUAGUGAAUAAGAAAAAACUUUGGCGGAAAAAAGGAAUACAGAUUUUUGCUGUUUAUGCAUACCCUUAGUGAGUAGGGUUGAUUACCUGAUGCAAACAUGGUAGACUUCUUAUUAGUUCUCCCACAUUGACUUGCUCCAAGCAAACACUGCAUGUGAGUUCAUCUUCUGCUGUUUUGUUAGUCCCAUCCUGUUUGCCAUUCUCUUGCCUUUUCUGCUCAGUGACAAUGAAAUCAGUAAGAAUUUUUCUCAUUUCUCAAGGUAGCUACAGCAGCCAAAAGGGUAGAUUGUGGAGCGAAAAAUGUGAAGCCCAAGCCCACGCGAAGCAAAGCAUACGACGCAUGUAGGAACCCGUUACCCUCGAAAGCUAAAACCUUUAGAUUUGGGCCCGAUGCGUAACUGUGUAUCAACCCUUUAUUUAAUUACUGUCUUUCCCUGUGAGACUAUUUUUCACAUGUGAACAACCCAACAAAGAGGUUAUUUGAAAUAAAAGAAAGUGAUAACUGAUAGAACAUUCCACCUCCAUCAUCUAAAUGUCGGUGCAUGAACCAGCAUUUUCACGAUAAGUCAUGUGAAUUUCAGCAUUUCAUAUAAUAUGUCUAUUACAGUAAUUUGUAAUAAAAUAAGAAGCAACUAAACCUAUCAAAAGAUCGAGCUUUCUUAAAAUUUAUAAGACUGGACAACUUUGAUACUUCCUAUCACUGCAAUAGCUACAGCAGCAAAAUUUUUAUCCAUCACCUGAAACUUUAGAUAUCAUAUUAUUAAAAAUGGUCCUGUGCAUCAUCUAUUGUGAGCCAUGAAACUGACACUACAAGGGUACUAAGAAAUCUUGAAAGGAUCCUCCAUUCCUUUUCUCCCACAAAGUAUAUAAAAGGGUCUACUGCACUGUCUUUGCUGAUAUGCCAGUGGCACAUCUUAUCUAUUGGAACAACUUCAUAAUCAAGUAAAUGAUGACAGAAUUAAGUUCCACAAGCAACCGUUUGCAUUGUGUGCAAGAAAAAUAAUAAUAAGAAGAAAGAUAACUUAGCUGCCAGAAAGAUCCUUCACUCCAUCUAUGGUUAAAGAAGGUCCCACAAUACAUUGCACUACCCAGAAUUUCAACCAGACAAUAAAUUUUCUGGCUACCUAUUCGCCAUCACCCCUUUGGUGUCUCCUACACUGAUGUAUUAAGUACGAUCCAAGUCUUGAGUUAGGACAAAAAUGAGAAUAAGACAUGACAUGGCUCACAGUGGUGGCCUACAGUUUUGAACUACCCAAACAACUGAAUAAACUUCUAGCUGAUUUACCGUAUAACAGUAGGAUGAUGAUGGCGCAGAUAAAGAUAGAAUGAUUCAUCCAAAGCCACUAAAUUGAAUUGUUGAGUAUUUGUAUAGAAGAGAAAAGCAAUUCGAUUAUGCACAUUGUAUUUAUACAGACUAUAAUUUGCUCAUUUCAAUAGAUCUUUCGUUUUCUUACCUACUUGUAUGCGUAGAUUAUGCAACAGCUAAACUUUUUUGUUUAAAAUUCCAUGAAUUUAAAAGUAUAUACAGCAAUUAAACUACAAAAUAGAAUGUAAUGUCCACAAAAUACAAAAUAGAAUGUAAAUUGGUACCUCAUUCACAAAUCCUGAAGAUGAAGGACCCUGUUGCGCAGAUGAUACAUCACUGGCGAAACCAAAAAUUCAAAUGUAACUAUUCAAUCAAAAUUAUGCGGAUUCAUAUACAGCAAUCACACUAAAGGAAACCAUAUAAAUCAUUUGGUACAAUUGCUAGAUCAGUGACAAUGGUAUGUAUGCUAAUGUGGGAAAGGGUUCGAUCCUACCUUUGUCGGGUAGAGGAAGCUCCCCGAUUCGACUGACCUUUGUACUUAUGAACAGGAAGAGCAUUUAUCUCUUCCUCGGUCAUAGAAGGAGAGUGAGGACUGUUAUCAGAGUCUAAGGCUCUCAAAGCAUCGUAAUCUACAAAAAGAACAAGGCAACCAUGGGUCUUAGACAGACAGAAAAAACAUUGUCAUUCCCUUAAAAAAAGAAAGGAAGAGAAACAGAAAAAAGAUAGAAACUUCACAAUAUGGCAGUACCUAAAUCAUCAAACUCUCGGUCGAGAAGAGCAAGUUGGAGUCUGAGGCUUUGUAGGCGCCCUCUUGUUGCAAAUGCUAUUGAAGGUGGAACAUGCAACCGAAGCUCAGUAUGGCCAAGCAAGCCACUUGCAGCAGCUGCCGCAUGAGCUUGGGCUUGUGCUUGAAGUUGCUGACAUGUAGCAUACAUCCUAAGGCCGGUGGCCAUUAGAAACACACCCAGCACUAGCCAAAGCUACAAAGUACAAUACACCAAUAAAAGGUAAAUAAAUCUUUUCAAUCAUAUAGUUGACAUUUUUGAUAAGAAAGUAGAACAUUUUGCAUAGAAGUACCAGAAAGUUUGGCGACAUCUGAUGCGAGUUGAGUAUCAUGAAGAGCAGGAGAACUGCCAAAUCGACAAUUUUCGGCAAUAUUAAGUAUGACAAUUAAACUAAAUUCUGAAAAAAAAAAAAAAGGAGGAAAUCUUUCACACUCAAUUUGCUUAAAGAAGUUAAGGUGGGUACCUGUGACGAGAAAAGCCAUAGAAUUGGUAUUAACUGGCCGAGUUCCUGCAUGAAUUCGCUGCGUAGCCACAGAGCAAAUAAUAAGAACGCAUAGAAUGAAGUAUAAUAUCCCAAACCUUUGGAAUAUGCAAACAAGUACAUACUAUGGCGCGCCGCUCUGGAACGAAACUUGGUAACCCCAUUUCGGGGUCGGCCCUGCUGCCCCGGAAGACAAAGCUCAUGGUGCCUGAUGCCGACUAGAACGGUCGGAAACACCACAAAUUCCGACCCAAGUUUGCUUCUUUUCGCUGAUCAGAGCAGCAUAGAAGAAUGGGAAUCUAGUAGAAGAGAUGUUCUUCUUCCCUAAAUUCGAAUCAGAAUAAGAAAUCAUAUACAUAUAUGCUCACAUAUAAAAGGAAAUCGUAUAUAAUUGAGUUCCAAAUGUGACAUUUCACAAGGUUAUCGUACCGAAAGCGAUUUUUCAACAAAACCCUACCUAAUUACGAUUACCAUUCAGAUGAUUCCAAACAAUUCUAAAGCCCUCUAGUCUCCAGAACUUUCCACCGAAAACCCUAGAAUCAUCGAUUUCGGGGAUUAUUAACGACCAAUUCGAAUCCGAUCAACUGGGAAACAUGAAAUCGAAGCGAAUGCGAAACAAAAAGUAGAGAAAUUUACCAAGAACAAACACUGAUUCCCUUGAGGAUUACUCGGCUCUCCGUCGAAUAAAAGGGAACGAGAGGAGAGGCGCAGGGGGUAAAUAAACGGGCGAAGAAGGAUAAGCGGCGCUUUUAUCCCAGCGGUAUAAUUAAUUAUUUAAUUAUUAAGAUUAAUUCCGGAGUUAUUCGAGGGGUGUUUUCCGAAAUACGAGGGAGAACUUAUCCGGAUGUCGAGCAUUAUUAUGAUAGAGCGUGCAUAAAGUUAUUCGACGUACUAAAAUAAGGUCUACGUCCAAAACCAAGUUGUACCUAAUUAGCACGGACCACUCAAAUUAAGAUUUGGAUCAACAAUUAAUAAUUACUUAGACUCUUUAUUUUUUUUAUUAAAACAAUCUAUAUAUAUAUAUAUCUCUCCGAUUUAUUAUUAUCCUUGUUAUCCCGGGUGGCUAAUGGGUCCAGGCCCGAGCCCAAACGGGUGGGUAAAGACCUUACAAUGCCUAAAACCAUACGGGCCGGGCCCAAAUCAAAGAAGUUUUAAAACUAUCCUAAAAAGUUUUAAAACUAGCAAUAGAUUCUCCGCAUUUUUGAGGCCCUAGUUGCCACACUCUAUAUAGCUAAAUUUAUAUACUUAAUAAAUGAAGCAGGUAGUGUGUUAUCUUUCUCUUUAAAAAAAGAAAAAAAAACAGUGUCGAAGAUAGUGGUUCUUAUUCUGUUGGAAAAGUUUUUAGAUAAUGGGAGUUUCUGAAGCCGUAAAGAAUCCUAAGCUUGUAAUAGAUUCAUGCAAGAACCAUUGUCUGGGGCAGAGUGGUUCUUAUUCUGCCGAAAAAGUUUUUUCAAAUGGCAGGGGUUCUAAAACGAAAAACAGGGGUUUCAUUCAAGAAAUUUCGAUUUUACUGCAAUAAAAAUAUUGUCGAGAGAAUUAUAAUACAUAUAAAAAAAAAAUUUUUUCCUAAAAUAUUAAUCAAACGACAUUUCGUGGAACACCUUGCAUCAAUAAAUCUUGACAGUAUAUAAUAACUCAAAAUAAUAUUACCACGAAUAAACACCUCACACACUUGUCUUCUAGUCAAUUAUCCUCUCUUUUUUUCCUCAAAAAAAAAAAAAGUUAAUUAUCCUCUUCAUUUGUAAUAUUUUAUUUAAAUAUAUACUCUAAUCAAUCUUGCAAUUCUCUUGCACAUAAAGAGAAGGUCACCUUCUAUCUAUCGACUGAAAGAAAUAUCGACCAAUCUAGCAUUUGACUCUUUGACAUGACCAAAUUGCUGGGCGACAAAGUGUAGGACCGCAAUUUGAAAAGUAGUUGAAGGACAAGCACUGCUGAGAACACGAAAUAACCAUUGAAAUUAUAUAAUGUUAGCCGAAUGGCAAACCAUUAUGCCAUUGCCCUACUAUACACCCAAAGAAUUACAUUAGCAGGACCAUCUACAGUCAUCUACAAUCUUUAUAAUAAAUCAUCCACGGCACGCGUAUGCGCCGCCACCAGAUUAAACACCCUAUGAAAAUUCUUCUCACUGAGCUGUGACCGGAUAAUGGCUCUAAGAUGUGGAUCAGUGCGAGUUUGAAAGGCGGCGUGCGAACAACAACGGAUGAAAUGGUCUCACUUUGAGGAGGAGAUUGCGCUCGGAAGUGCAGGAGUCACGUCAUAGAGAGAGGGCCUCGGUGAGGCGCUGGGCGGCGAGGUCGCAGCGGACGGGGGCGAAGCCGACGCGGCGGUUGUCGAGGUCGUAUUCGACCCAGAGGUUCUGCUGGUGGUGGUGGCCAAUGACGUAGGCCGACAUGGGCACCAGGUCGGAGUUCCCGAACGUGGCGCACCAGACCCCGUCCCCACCCCGCCUCUCCCCCUCCACCCGGUACAGUAACCGCUCCCCGCUCACCCUCAGCUCCGCCCCGCGGAGCACCACACCCACCUCCGGCAAUCGCGACGGCAAUGGCGCCCCCGCCCCCGCCCCCGCCGCUGGGAUCCUGAAGCAGAGGUCGAACGCGCCUUGGAAGACGAAGUCGGGCUCGUUGAGCGGCGUGAGGAGCGCCCGGGUUUGGCGUAAAAAUUCGACCUUGAGCGCGUCGUAGGCGUCGCCGAGGAGGAAGGUGAACUGGGUCCCCGAGUCCACCAUGGUUUGGCCCGCGCCCGUGUGGUCCGGGGCGAGCACGGACUUGGGGAUGGGGAGGAGCGCGGCGCCCACGCGGAUGCCCUCGAGCUGGACCGAGUAGGCGACGCGGUCGAAGUAGGGGAGCGGGAGCGAGAUCUCGAUGAGCGGGGUGUAGUUCAAGCGCGGAGCGAAGGGCGCGGAGCCCGCGUCGCCCCCGAGGAGGAGGACCCCGGAGUCGUCGCGGUCGGAGAUGCAGUAGGAGAAGCGGCGCGUGGCGCUCUGGGUCACGAAGGAGAGCGCGCCCCUGUUCAUGCCCAGGAGCCCGUGGGUGGCCGCGGCGGCGGCGGAGGAGUCGUAGGAGGAGAAGAUGCAGCCGAAGACGGUGCGGAGGGGAGGGGGGCGGCCGAGGAGGAAGGAAUCGGCGGCGAGGGAGCCCUCGGAGGAGGAGGCGUCGGCGUAGGAGAGGGAGACGCGGCAGGCGUUGGAGGAGGGGUCGCACGAAGGGGGGACGGGGAGGUCGCGGGCCUGGGAUUGGCAAGCAGGGGAGGAGCAGGGGAGGGGCCGGUACGAGGAAGAGGCGAGCAGGUUGAACGAGUUGGGCGACGAGGACGUGUUGCAGAGGAGCCACGAGAGCUCGCUCCCGGUGUCGAGCACCAUGGACACGUUCUGGGGCGGGGCGCCCACCGCGGGAAGGGGAGAGUAUACGACGGAGGAAGAGAGGAGCCCAUUACUUGUGGUGUUGCGCACCGUGGAAGAAGAUGAAGGAGAGGAGAGGAGAGGAUUUCAAUAAUGCAGUACAAGUGCGAGAGAAGUGAGUGAACAUAAAAGGGCAGAGAGAGAGCGAAGAGAAAAAUCUGUGCUUUGUGUGGCGACGCGGACGGAGGAGGGAAAGUCUCCUCUCCCUCCCCCCCUCUCUCUGUCGUUUAUUGCGAUUGUGGAAACAGAACAAGUUGCUCUGUUUCUAAGAGGGGGACCCUCUAUGGAGAGAGGAUUAAUAUUUUAGUGGAAAUUAUUAAUUUAACAGACAAGCAUGUGGACUAAUGUUAGAUUUGAUUUUAUCUCUUGUCGGGCAAUUAGACCAUUAAUUUAUAAUUAGUGAUUGCAACACCUCCCUCCACCCCUCUCUCUCUCUCUCUCUCUCUCUCUCUCUCUCCUUCUCUCUCUCUCUCUCUCUCUCUCUCUCUCUCUACUCCCGAGAUCUCCGCCCCUCUUAUAUACAAGUCACACUAGUUUGGUGAGAGUUUUAUGUGUUGCUUAACUCUCUGGCAAUGAACGUGUCCAAAAUAGUUAUUUUAGUCAGACUAUUAUUCUAAAAAUAUUAGUGAUCGAAUAUGAAAAGAAAAAUUUGGUAAUUAGAUUUUGCACUAAUUUGGUUCUACGAAUUCAUUUAUUUUUCUGAUCUAAGAUGACCUGAUAAGUGUAGUAGUCUUAAUUUCCGCAUGAAGCAAAUUUUGAACCGAAAAAUUCACUCACAAAAUAUAACUAUCAAUCAAUUGUUAUAAGCAGUGCAUGAUUAAACUUUUAUAUGAAAGAAAUAGUUAAAAGUAUUAUACUAGUAACUAAUACGUCAAAAAUGGAUCGACACGCACACAAUUAAGAAUGGAUGGUGAUUGGGCAUCAUAGACCUCCGAGAAGGUAGAAAGCGAGGCUGCUAGCUACAUCCGUAACCACCAGCAGCAUCACAUACAUGGCUCUGUUCAUUAGUCCAUGUCAUGGGACUUUGCCAACCUUGCACGAUCCUUUACAGCCGCAGAGAUUGAGAUAAUGUGACCGUCUCCGCGCCAGGACUCGCAGCAAAAGCCACUGUACCAUCACGAAUGCAUAAAGUAGUUGGUUGCUCUUGUCCUCUUCACUAAAUUCUAUGUGUGGUGUCCUUAGGCAUCUUAAAUAAAAAAAAUUAAUAGCUAAAACUUACCGGGACCCUUAAAUAUAUAAUUUCUUGCAUGUCAAUUAAGCAGAUGGCAUGCUAUUUUCUCUUCAGAAACAAAAUAUUAUAAGCGCAUAUAGAAACUCAAUAUCCGCACUCCUAUAUAUAUUGUGUAGAGUUAUGUAACAACCUAUAGUAUCCGGGGGAGGGAGGGAUCGGAGUUGGUAGCAUUACCCGUAUAUGUGGGCCGUGUGACCUGAGGAUAACCUAACCCUAGCUGAUCCAACUCUCAACCUGAAUAUCCUAAUCCCAUCAUUAUCCUAUACAGUGAUGAUAUGUACAUAUUGAUCCAUAUGUCACCAUUCAAUAAUCAAAAGGAGGACCCUUACGUUUUUCUUUUCUUUUUUUUUUUCACCAACAUAUAUAUAUAAUAUAUAUAUAUAUAUAUAUAUAUAUAUAUUAUACUGAUCUAAUUAGUACGUGCGAUGCAGCUGGAUUUUCCGUUUUGAAUGAUUGAAUUCAAAUUAUUCUAUUUUAAAAUCCUACUAAAGGAGUAUUAUUAAUUCAAUUCCUUUAUUGUGUAGAUUUGGGAUACGCGGUUUCAUUAUUAUUAUUAUUGAUGGCGCUAGUAUUUAAUUACAAAUUUCCACUGGGUUGACGUAAAUUAACAAUGCUUUUGUAUUGUUUGUUCACUGCACAAAAAAUUCGUUAAUUAAUUAAUUGUUUGUACAAAAAAAGAGAGUGGUACGGUGAAGUUGGAGCAAUUCGGAAAACACGGGGAAUCAUCACCAUUAAUAACAGCGACGUGGGCCCCCAACAAUUUAGAAAAAGUUUCCACCGGGACAGUGCAUAAAUGGGCGCAGUCCUAAAAAUAGCCUCCCAUUUAUUAGUAUUUCUCCGCACGACUUUUGAAAAUGCUUCUAUCCAGCUGUAAAAAAAUUAAUUCCGAAAAUUUUACUGCAGCAACAAUCACACGCCCUCUUUGGAUAUCUCUGAAAACGUAGCAUAAUAUAGUUAAAUUAUACUAUACCGAUAGAAAAAUUAUUUUCUGAAACAUUUGGGAAAAAGAAAAAAAACGAAAGUUUUAGAGUAUAGUUAAGCUAUACUUCAAAAAAUAAAGUAAAAUUAUAAUUCACUUUAACCAAAGAAAAAAAAUUUCACCAUUCUUAAACUUCCUUAUCCCAAAUAUGUAUUAAGUUCUAAAUUUUAAAUUUCAAACGAGAUUUUAAAUUUUAAAUUUUAUAAUUAAAUUUAUAUUAAAAUUUUUAAUUCCAAAUUUUAAAUUUUAAAUAUCAAAAAUUUAAAUUUUAAAUUUUCUAAUUUUAUAAUUUUAAAUUUUAAUUUUUGAAUAUCAAAAUUUAAAUUUUAAAUCUUUCAAUUUUAUAAUUUCAAAUUUUAAAUUUUAAAUUUUAAAUUUUCAAAUUUCAAAUUUCAAGCUUUAAAUUUUAAAUUUAAGUUUUACAUUUUAAAUUUCAAAUCUCAAAUAUAAAUUUUAAAUUUCAAAUUUCAAAUUUCAAACUUUAAAUUUUAAAUUUUAAGUUUUAAAUUUCAAUUUUCAAAUUUCAAAUUUCAAAUCUCAAAUCUCAAAUCUCAAAUCUCAAAUUUCAAAUUUCAAAAUCUCAAAUCUCAAAUUUUAAAUUUCAAAUUUUCAUUUUUAAAUAUAUUUGUUAAGUUUUAAAUUUUAAAUUCUAAAUUCAAAUUCUAAAUUUUAAAUUUAAAUUUAAAUUUAAAAUCUUUGAUUUCAUAAUUUUAAAUUUUAAAACUUUGAUUUCAAAAUUUUAAAAUUUAAAUUUUAAAUCUUUGAUUUCAAUUUUUUGAAUUUCAAAAUUUAAAAAUUAAAUUUAGAUUUUUCUAUUUUAAAUUUUCAAAUUUGAAUUUUGAAAUUUGAAAUUUUAGAUUUAAACUUCAGUUUAUAAAUUUAAACAAAAAUAUUUUUUUUAUACUUUACUAACAUUUUUGCAGUAUUUUUUUUUUAGAAAUUCAGCGCGCCACACUGGGCUUAAUUAAUGAGAUUUGUUUUGGCUUAAAUAAACUAACAUUCUGUCUUGCAGCGAGAGGCUGGAUUUGCACGAGUUACGUUCGACAUGGCGGAAGGUCGAGUUGGGUCGAUUCAUAUUUGAAAUAGUGUGAAAUUGAUUGGACCAAGCUACAAUUGAGAUCAAUGGGCGUCGUACUCGUAAAGUUUAAGACUCCGUUUGGUUCGGGAAUAAAGAAGGAAUAAUAAAAGUUAUCCCCGCUAUCCCGUAAAACGAGAUGCUUUUGGACUGAAAUAUUUUAUCCCUAUCAAACAUUACUAUUCUCGACUAUCUCGGCAUAGCUUGGAAUUUACUAUUCCAUUAUUUUGGUAGAAUAGUGCUAUUCGAAAAUUUAAUUUCAAGUUUUAAUAAGAUUAUAAAUUGAAUUAAAACUAAAUUGUAUAGACAUAACAUGUUAUAUAUUAUAAUAUAUUAUUUCUAUUAUAAAAUUAUAAUUGUACUACUUAAUUUAUUACUCUAAUAAAUAUUUAAUUAGCUAUUUGAGUAAUUAAUUUGCUAAUCAAAUAAUUAAUUAUUUAUUAGUGUACUUAUUCAAUAAUCAAUAUUUAUAUUGAUUAAUUAAUCAAUAUUUUGACUAAUUUAAUUAUCUGAUUGUUAUUAACUAAUUAAUUUAUUAAUUUAUUAAAUUACUUGUGAUCAAUUAAAUUAUUAAUUACUAAUUAAUUUAUAAUUAACAUUUAGCGUUAUUUAGCAAUAUUCAUGAUUAAUUAGUAUAAUAUUAAAUAAGUUGAAUUAUUAUUUAAUCAAUAUUUUUUAUUAAUUAAUUAGAUAAGAUAUUAUUAUAUUAAAAGUAUAAUUAUUUUUAUUCUUACUUUUUCAAUUUAACUAUCCAAAUGCUAUUUUGCUUAUUUCCGAAAAAAGUUUAUUUUUCAUUCAAAUGCAAAAUUAAUUUUAUUUUUAUUUAUCUUAAUAGCUGCAUCUAUUUUAGUGGUAGCCUAAAAUAGCUAAUUUUCGAACCAAACGAUAACUAGGUCAAUUUAUUAAGUAUUUCGAACAGUUCGAGCUUAUGAUAUGACAGUUUGGAUGCUAACUCAUCUUGAAUGAUUGAUUAGAAGUGUCAGCACAUUGGAUCAAAUGAGAAGAUCUCGAGCCUGAGCGCUGCUUAAUUACCAGCUGGUGACAGGACCAGCACAAAUGUCUUUAAAGGCGAACAUAAUAAUUAAACUAACAUCAUUGUUCGAUAUAUUAAUAGCUAGGUUAUAUAUAUAUAUAUAUAUAUAUAUAUGUAUAAUUUUAAAAAGCUUUAUUAGUGGAUCUGAAGUCUCAACUCUAUUAUAUAUUGUACUUGCAUGCUCGGUCAACAUUUGUUUACAUGGUUAAAAGGUUAAUAAUUAAGCUUCGAGGAUGUCGGUUUCCUGGUCUUCAAAGCGGCCUUAUAUAUAGCUAGGUAGAGAGGGUACGUUGUAUUGCGUAAGUUGGUAGGUUUAAUUAGUUCAUGAUUAAUUUUACUGCUGUGUCCUGUAGCUUCCUUUAUUUGCAGAAACGGACAAAAUAAAGCACACUCCAUAUAUUUUGUCCUUAAUUAGACGUUUUGGCAUUUUAUAUGGCACAAUGAGUUUGAUUUGAAGCGUAUCAAACUUAGUACAAUCGUCGUAACCCCGAGUAGUCAAGUUUUUCUAGAGCAUGCAUGUACGUUGUGCUGUGAUGUAGGGAAAAGAUUGUAAUAAAGCAAGAGUAUAAUAAAAAGCGCGUAUCUGCUAAUAAUAAAAUUGAUUAUGAUAAGAACACCAUUUAUCGAAAUUAUAUAGGAUAUGCGAGUAAUUCUUUUUAUAUAUAUUCUUAUUUUUAGGAUUAAUUUGGAUUUCAAUUUCAUGACAAAUUAAAUAGAAUCCAAGUGUCUUAUUAAAGUACGUAGGAUUUAUGUGGAAAUUAGUUAACUAUUCACACUCGCACCUUUGAGCUUACUUGUACAGUCAAAAGGGAGGGAAAAAAAAACUUACUAGCAAGCAUGUACUAUUACAAUAUAUUAUGCAUUCGUGUUGUUCAAUUAUACAAGAUUUUUGUUUUAUGUGACGAUUUCCUCACAAUACAGGUGUAUUUUAACGAUGUACAAUACACUAAUACAUAAUAUACGUACGUACGCUGUGGCAUACAUUGUUUGGCAUCUAGCUCAGGAGAAAUUUAGGCAUCAAACCGAGUACAGCACUAAAGCCUAUGUAACUUGUGAUGGUGUUCGUAGAUCAUUAGUUUGACGUGACGAGAUCCACGAUUUUGACUAAGAAAGAUACCCACACAGCACGUGGAAAGUUAAAGAGACGUGUGUACCUUGGAGCCCAUGAAAUGGUGCAACAUGCAUUGGUUCAUAAUAGCGCCUCGACCUGACACAGACGCGUUUCUGAAUUAAUACCAUAACGUGUUCCCACCCUUUUUACUGGUCGAGAUUAAAACGAGAAAUAUUAACUGUAUACUCAAAAAUUAACGAAACUUCCAUAUUUUUUCUAUCUAAGAAUUACAAACUUAAUUCACACUAGUUUUAUUAUUUGUUUAUAUUUUAAAACUAAAAUUUUAAUAAAAUUUGUUUAAAUUUUUAGAUGGAUAAAAAAUGCAAACUUUAUAUCAUGUUCUUGGUUUACAAUCAGACAAUCUCUAGCCUUUGACAAAAAAAAAAGAAGUUACCUACAUAUGAACAGUUAUAGGGAACGAAAGAUGGUGUUCUUAUAGAGUUGUGCUAAUUUCCCCUUCUUAUAAAAAGAGGAUCGUCCAUCUUGUGAUUCGCAUGAAAGGUCGAGUCAACUGCACCAGAGAUCAUAAACACAGACUAAUUACUGAUGUAAAGGAUCAAACCUCAAAUACCAACUUUUCUCACUAAAUCCCAACUUACUAAAUUUCUCCUCUCGUUUUGCUCUCUUUGGAUGAUCUUUCAAUGUCCUGGAAGAUUAAUUUCCAAAAUUGGGAAGUCUAAAAUUUCUACUACAAUGAGGAGUUGAAAGGAUCGAGGUUUUUAGCCCCAAAAACAGAAUCACCAAUUUAGCGUGAGCCGGUACUUAAUAGCCCGUUAAUCGAACUAUCCUCACUCAAUCAAGGACAAAAGAGCUUCUACACUUUCACAAUAGAUUAAUAUAAGUACGCAGCAUCCCAAGCAUCAUCACGAAACAAGAUUCCUCUGAACAAGAAAAUUUCUAAAGAGCAUAAUUCUAUUGCAUGUUUUGCCAAUUCAAUCAAUCGACUUUGUUUAAAUAGAUCAUGCACUCAUACAUCAAGUGCAUCGGGUCGGAUCCAAAAGCAUCCUAACAUAAUAAAGCAAGAACAGGAUACAAUAUGGAUUGUGCAAAGUUUUCAUGUGAAGUUUCGAUUGCCUUCUUUUCACAAAAGUUUCUGUGCAAAGACAAAUGAAAUGAAUACGCAUACAUCUGCAUGCACAAGACAUUCAUAUUUUUCGUGCGGGACAUAGAAUGGGCUUUCUCAGAAAAUAUAGAAAUCAACCUUAACACAAACAUACCACACUCGCCACGAAGCACCGAAUCACAUUUGACCUCGCCAACUAACAUCAAAGAGCUUCAAGUCAUGAGAAAUCGGUGUCGAGAAGCGCAUCUCUGUUCCGCGCAUCAGGUUGCUUCAAGGACCAAUCUUUAAGCUGCAAUGACAAAAGUUCCCACAUGCCAUGAGCAACAGCACAAUUAUAUGAUUACCUACAUAAGAUAACCCAGAAAAAGAAUCGACAACACAUAGCUUCCCAGUAGUCAGAAUAUACAGAACUGAUAGACGCUUAAUAACAUUCUCAACAAAUCCUUGGAGAGUUUACCAUCACAAUCAAGUGCCUCUAGCUAUUCUCGAGCUCCAACGAUGAAUCUGCAAAAUCAACCGCCUAAUAGGUUGAAGAAUCCACUCAGUACAAACUAUAUUCCCGCAACAUAACCGACCACACUAUUGGCAUGAGAAUAUAUACUACAAGGUUAGUGCUCUGAAAAAAACAGAGUAAAAAUAGUCUAUUUGGGGCAAAGAUACAGCCAACGGGACAAUAGAUGCCGAUGAAUAGUUUGACCUGGUAACCAAGAAGACGAAAGACAGGAUAAAAGAGCAUGUGAGCAGAAUAAACAAAAAGCACCACGCCUGCAUUUAGUUAUAGUCCACUUUGCUUAUAAGAUCCCCUGCUUAAGAUGUUAUGCUAACCAUCAAUUUUGGCAAAAACAGGUAAUUCAUUAGUGCAGAAUUAGCAAGGCCCAGUUAACCGAAAAACGAGCAGCCCAAAACUGCUCGUUGGACAGCCUGUCAUGAAAAAAUUAAUUAAAUUGUAUCUAAUAGAGUAGAGAGGAAUAAUAAUAAUGAUAUAGCUAAUAAUCA
This 18025-nucleotide long non-coding RNA is filed under the name Ananas comosus (pineapple). RNAcentral describes it as "long non-coding RNA (ACOM_LNC027572)". The record is from RNAcentral. Lineage: Eukaryota; Viridiplantae; Streptophyta; Magnoliopsida; Poales; Bromeliaceae.